UCCAAUCGAACUCGGAGAUAGCUGGUUCUCCUCGAAAUAGCUUUAGGGCUAGCCUUGAGGUAAAGUCUAAUGGAGGUAAAGCACUGAUUGGACGCGGGUCCCCAAAAGGAUACCAACUUCUAUCAAACUCAGAAUGCCAUAUAGAUAUACUCAGGAGUCAGACUAUGUGAGAUAAGUUUCAUAGUCAAAAGGGAAAGAGCCCAGACCGACAGCUAAGGUCCCAAAGUGUGUGUUAAGUGGAAAAGGAUGUUAGGUUUCUAAGACAACUAGGAUGUUGGCUCAGAAGCAGCCACUCAUUUAAAGAGUGCGUAACAGCUCACUAGUCGAGAGGUCUAGCGCCGAAAAUGUCCGGGGCUAAAACACACCACCGAAGCUACGGAAUUACCUAUGGUAAUUGGUAGAGGAGCAUUCUGUAAGGACGAAGCACAAUUGAAAGAGAGUGUGGACGAAACAGAAGAGAGAAUGCCGGAAUGAGUAGCGAGAUAUAUGUGAGAAUCAUAUAGGUCGAAUGUCUAAGGUUUCCUGGGUAAAGCUGAUCUGCUCAGGGUAAGUCGGGACCUAAGGUGAGGGCGAGAGCCGUAAUCGAUGGACAACAGGUAGAAAUUCCUGUACUACGUAUAAUCAGAACUGUGGGGACGCAGGAGGAUAGGAAAACCGGAGAAUGGAAAUAUCCGGCUAAGUACAAAGGUGUGAGUGAUAGGCAAAUCCGUCACUAUAAGCUGAAGUACGAAUGGGAGCGAAGAAAAGUAGCGAAGUUUCUGAAUCCACACUGUCAAGAAAAGCCGCUAUUGCGUUAUACGUACCCGUACCGCAAACCGACACAGGUAGACGAGGAGAAAAUCCACAGACCGACGGGAGAAGUGUUGUUAAGGAACUCGGCAAAAUGACCCCGUAACUUAGGGAUAAGGGGAGCCAACGCAAGUUGGUCACAGAAAAGAGGCUCAAGCGACUGUUUAGCAAAAACAUAGGUCUAUGCGAAACCGUAAGGUGAUGUAUAUGGGCUGACACCUGCCCGGUGCUGGAAGGUCAAAAGGAGAGGUUAGCGUAAGCGAAGCUUUGAAUUCAAGCCCCAGUAAACGGCGGCCGUAACUAUAACGGUCCUAAGGUAGCGAAAUUCCUUGUCAGGUAAGUUCUGACCCGCACGAAAGGCGUAAUGAUUUGUGCACUGUCUCGACAACACGCCCGGUGAAAUUGAAGAACCAGUGAAGAUACUGGUUACCCGCAACAGGACGGAAAGACCCCAUGGAGCUUUACUGCAGCUUAAUAUUGGGAUUCGGUAUUGUAUGUACAGGAUAGGAGGGAGACUAAGAAGCUAGCACGCCAGUGUUGGUGGAGUCGAUGGUGGGAUACCUCUCUUAUAAUACUGAAUUUCUAACCUACUUCCGUGAUCCGGAAGAGGGACAUUGUUAGGCGGGCAGUUUGACUGGGGCGGUCGCCUCCGAAAGAGUAACGGAGGCGCUCAAAGGUCUUCUCAGAAUGAUUGGAAACCAUUCAAAGAGUGUAAAGGCAAAAGAAGGCUUGACUGCGAGAGUGACAACUCGAGCAGGUACGAAAGUAGGACUUAGUGAUCCGGUGGUAACAAGUGGGAGUGCCAUCGCUUAACGGAUAAAAGCUACCCUGGGGAUAACAGGCUUAUCUCCCCCAAGAGUUCACAUCGACGGGGAGGUUUGGCACCUCGAUGUCGGCUCAUCGCAUCCUGGGGCUGAAGUAGGUCCCAAGGGUUGGGCUGUUCGCCCAUUAAAGCGGUACGCGAGCUGGGUUCAGAACGUCGUGAGACAGUUCGGUCCCUAUCCGUUGUGGGCGCAGGAAAUUUGAGAGGAGCUGUCCUUAGUACGAGAGGACCGGGAUGGACGUACCUCUGGUGUACCGGUUGCAGACCAACUGCACAGCCGGGUAGCUAUGUAUGGAACGGAUAAACGCUGAAGGCAUCUAAGCGUGAAGCCGCCCUCAAGAUAAGAUUUCCCAUUCUUCGGAAGUAAGAUCCCUUAAAGAUAAUGAGGUUGAUAGGUUGGAGGUGUAAGCAUGGUAACAUGUUCAGCUGACCAAUACUAAUAGAUCGAGGGCUUGACCAA
This 2072-nucleotide ribosomal RNA is filed under the name human gut metagenome. RNAcentral's name for it is "bacterial LSU rRNA". It matches the Rfam family "Bacterial large subunit ribosomal RNA", at positions 828 to 2925 of the family's 2925-position model. The record is from RNAcentral.